This 98-nucleotide small nucleolar RNA is filed under the name Ascoidea rubescens DSM 1968. The record is from RNAcentral. Lineage: Eukaryota; Fungi; Ascomycota; Saccharomycetes; Ascoideales; Ascoideaceae.
UUUGCUAUGAUUAUUUGCAGUAGUACCAAUUGUUCCAACUGAAUUGUCCUAUGUCGACAUAAGCAUUUAUCGUUAAGUUUCAGCCUUGUAUGAGCUUU